Molecule: transfer RNA, 81 nt
Filed under: Wallemia mellicola CBS 633.66
Lineage: Eukaryota; Fungi; Basidiomycota; Wallemiomycetes; Wallemiales; Wallemiaceae
Also listed under: 1 other name
Rfam family: tRNA
About the family: Transfer RNA (tRNA) molecules are approximately 80 nucleotides in length. Their secondary structure includes four short double-helical elements and three loops (D, anti-codon, and T loops).
Source: Rfam by way of RNAcentral
GGCUCGAUGGUCUAGGGGUAUGAUUCUCGCUUUGGGUUACCAGCUUGCGAGAGGUCCAGGGUUCAAAUCCCUGUCGAGCCC